GCUCUCAAAGGAUAGUAGACAAUCCAUUGGCCUUAGGAGCCAAAAACCCUUGGUGCAAACCCAAGUGACAGCU
RNAcentral lists this transfer RNA (73 nucleotides) under Callopanchax monroviae. RNAcentral's name for it is "tRNA-Leu". It matches the Rfam family "tRNA". From Rfam's summary of the family: Transfer RNA (tRNA) molecules are approximately 80 nucleotides in length. Their secondary structure includes four short double-helical elements and three loops (D, anti-codon, and T loops). The record is from RNAcentral. Lineage: Eukaryota; Metazoa; Chordata; Actinopteri; Cyprinodontiformes; Nothobranchiidae.